Solanum pennellii is the source of this 682-nucleotide long non-coding RNA. RefSeq lists it as uncharacterized. Lineage: Eukaryota; Viridiplantae; Streptophyta; Magnoliopsida; Solanales; Solanaceae. The record is from RefSeq and is a predicted model, not a curated record. The transcript has 4 exons.
UAAUAAAACACAACUUCACGCUUUCCUUUCACUUUCCUAAAUCAGAACUCAUGCUUUCCCUUUCACAAUUUCACGCUUUCCUUUCACCAAGCUUCAAAUUUGCUGAAGAUCAAGCUGAAAAAUUUGCUGAAGAACUCACCAAGACCAAUUUGCUGAAGAUUCCGUCAAGAAGGAAUUUAUUGGGGUUGUUGGCAAGAUGACUGAAGUUAAGUCUCUCUGUCACACUUUUCUCUCAAAUUUUAGACAGAUUUAUGGCUGAAGAGGUAAAGAGCUAAAGAUAAUCUCCCUAAAGAAUACGAUUUCCAUAAUAGUUCUUGCUGAAGAACCCGAUUUUGUUGGAAUAGGGUUUACCGGUUUGAAAGGGAUCCUGCAAUAAUAUGAAACUGGCGUAGAAGCAGAAAAAGAGAUCUUUUCAAAAUUGGAGUUGCAAAGGGAAAUGGAGGUGAACAAAUUUUAAGUGGAUGAUGAAGAGUUUUGAGCUAUUCUAAAAGUUUGAAUACAUUGUAUUUGAUUUUGUGAAAUAUAUUCACUGGUGGAAUAUAUUGAACUAUUGUAAGUGUACUUUUUGAACUAUUGUGUACACAUUUAGAAUAUUGCUUUAUAAGUUUGUGUAUGUACACAACACAUUAUGUUUUGACGUUUAUGGAAAAUCUAUAAAUUUGUAAGAGUACUUAAUGUUUGA